AGGACGAACGCUGGCGGCGUGCUUAACACAUGCAAGUCGAGCGGAAAGGCCCUUUCGGGGGUACUCGAGCGGCGAACGGGUGAGUAACACGUGAGUAACCUGCCCUUGGCUUUGGGAUAACCCCUCGGAAACGGGGGCUAAUACCGAAUAUUCACUGCUCCUCGCAUGGGGGGUGGUGGAAAGAUUUUUUGGCUGGGGAUGGGCUCGCGGCCUAUCAGCUUGUUGGUGGGGUGAUGGCCUACCAAGGCGACGACGGGUAGCCGGCCUGAGAGGGCGACCGGCCACACUGGGACUGAGACACGGCCCAGACUCCUACGGGAGGCAGCAGUGGGGAAUAUUGCACAAUGGGCGCAAGCCUGAUGCAGCGACGCCGCGUGAGGGAUGACGGCCUUCGGUUGUAAACCUCUUUCAGUAGGGACGAAGCGCAAGUGACGGUACCUGCAGAAGAAGCACCGGCUAACUACGCGCCAGCAGCCGC
This 478-nucleotide ribosomal RNA is filed under the name uncultured bacterium. RNAcentral describes it as "SSU rRNA". It matches the Rfam family "Bacterial small subunit ribosomal RNA", at positions 26 to 518 of the family's 1533-position model. The record is from RNAcentral.